This 344-nucleotide ribosomal RNA is filed under the name uncultured Streptococcus sp. RNAcentral describes it as "bacterial SSU rRNA". It matches the Rfam family "Bacterial small subunit ribosomal RNA", at positions 1036 to 1382 of the family's 1533-position model. The record is from RNAcentral. Lineage: Bacteria; Bacillati; Bacillota; Bacilli; Lactobacillales; Streptococcaceae.
AGGUGGUGCAUGGUUGUCGUCAGCUCGUGUCGUGAGAUGUUGGGUUAAGUCCCGCAACGAGCGCAACCCUCGCCUCUAGUUGCCAGCAUUCGGUUGGGCACUCUAGCGAGACUGCCGGUAAUAAACCGGAGGAAGGUGGGAUGACGUCAAAUCAUCAUGCCCCUUAUGACCUGGGCUACACACGUGCUACAAUGGUUGGUACAACGAGUUGCGAGUCGGUGACGGCGAGCUAAUCUCUUAAAGCCAAUCUCAGUUCGGAUUGUAGGCUGCAACUCGCCUACAUGAAGUCGGAAUCGCUAGUAAUCGCGGAUCAGCACGCCGCGGUGAAUACGUUCCCGGGCCUU